RNAcentral lists this long non-coding RNA (1948 nucleotides) under Lactuca sativa (garden lettuce). RNAcentral's name for it is "long non-coding RNA (LSAT_LNC004844)". The record is from RNAcentral. Lineage: Eukaryota; Viridiplantae; Streptophyta; Magnoliopsida; Asterales; Asteraceae.
AAGCGACACCACCCUUUUUGCGUAACCGCUAUUCACAUACUCUGGUUCUCAUUGCAGGGGCUCUCAAUCCCAUGCACUCUCUCCACUCAUCAAAAUCACUGCCUCAGCUAAACAAGAUCACUAACCCGGGGCCAGACCUUCCAAUGCAAUCACACUGCAACAUACACGAUCCGCAAUCUCAAACUGAUCCAGCAAUACCAACAGAGUCUCCAGCAUGACUGGACCGACUCUCAUAACACAUACUAGCCACUCGAGGCUAUAUCUCUGUGGGUCCGUACACCCAAACUCUGCGAACCCUCAGGUUCUAACUCUGGGAACCUUCCGGUUCCAGCUCUAGAAACAUGCACAACAUAAUCCCGUGGGAUUAAUGCAGUACAACCCAUCACGUACCUCAAACAUACCAAUACUCUGAUCGCAUAACCCCGGUUACUUACUCAAGCUUGAUCCCGGCCUUCUCUCAGGCCUCCACAAUCAAAUGCCCUAGGUCUGUAUCCCGCCCCGCAUACCCGACACUCGCUCUCGUCGGCCUAUACUCUGCGCUGACAAACACUGCUGAAUCCCAACAGCUAAGCACCCUCACAUACUCAUCGAUCUCCCGGAGAAUUCUCCAAUUCUCCCCCACUUAAAACACUGACUCACAGCCACCGAUCGCCAUUAACGACCUUCCAGAACAACCCCGCACAGAGAGAACACUUACACACUGACUGCUUCCCUCAAGCAUAAGCAACCCUCAGCAAAACACAUCUCCUCCCUGAUCAAUCCGCUCAAAAGAAUCCGGUCUUUCAAUUAUCCACUCCACGACUGCAGAUGCUACCCGACAUUCAACCCAGUGCCGCAUCUCCACCAUCAACCCUCACGAACGAUAACCAACGGAAUUCCCAAACACUAACCCAUAACCAAACCCACAACCUAAAAAAAGGAUGAAUACCGUAUCGAAAACCGCACAAGGAUACCGGCACCAAGACACCAACUAUAACCAUACCAACCAUCAGGGAACAACGAAUGCCAAAGCAAAAACCAGAAACACCAUUCCUUAACCAUGCCAAACCCGCGAAACAACGAAUACCGCAUCGAANCUGCGGGUCUGUACACCCAACUCUACGAACCCUCAGGUUCUAACUCCGGGAACCUUUCGGUUCCAGCUCUAGAAACAUGCACAACAUAAUCCCGUGGGAUUAAUGCAGUACAACCCAUCACGUACCUCAAACAUACCAAUACUCUGAUCGCAUAACCCCGGUUACUUACUCAAGCUUGAUCCCGGCCUUCUCUCAGGCCUCCACAAUCAAAUGCCCUAGGUCUGUAUCCCGCCCCGCAUACCCGACACUCGCUCUCGUCGGCCUAUACUCUGCGCUGACAAACACUGCUGAAUCCCAACAGCUAAGCACCCUCACAUACUCAUCGAUCUCCCGGAGAAUUCUCCAAUUCUCCCCCACUAAAGCACUGACUAACUGCCACCGAUCGUCAUUAACGACCUUUCAGAACAAUCCUGCACAAAGAGAACAUUUACCCACUGACUGCUUCCCACAAGCAUAAGCAACCCUCAGCAAAACACAUCUCCUCCCUGAUCAAUCCGCUCAAAAGAAUCCGGUCUUUCAAUUAUCCACUCCACGACUGCAGAUGCUACCCGACAUUCAACCCAGUGCCGCAUCUCCACUAUCAACCCUCACGAACGAUAACCAACGGAAUUCCCAAGCAAUAACCCAUAACCAAACCCACAACCUGAAAAAGGAUGAAUACCGCAUCGAAAACCGCACAAGGAUACCGGCACCAAAACACCAACUAUAACCAUACCAACCAUCAGGGAACAACGAAUGCCAAAGCAAAAACCUGAAACACCAUUCCUUAACCAUGCCAAACCCGCGAAACAACGAAUACCGCAUCGAAAUCCACACAAGAUACCAGCACAAACAAUACGCCACAAUCAACGCAAGACAAUCAAGACAUCAAG